Long non-coding RNA from Alexandromys fortis (reed vole), 1739 nucleotides. RefSeq lists it as uncharacterized. The transcript is spliced from 3 exons. The record is from RefSeq and is a predicted model, not a curated record. Lineage: Eukaryota; Metazoa; Chordata; Mammalia; Rodentia; Cricetidae.
CAGAAAGCCACACAGUGUGAAGAAAUAGGAACAGAUUGAUUUUAGAACACAGGAAAUUCUGCAUAGAGUGGAAAGUCUGAGGCCUUGCGGUUUCUCUGUGCAAACUCCAGCAUCACCAGUCAAUGGCCAGGACAUGAAAGGACAGAGAAGGUGAAACUCCCCUUCCAGAACCUUCAUCUGGCGAUGGAUGGAGAUAGAGACAGAAAUCCACAUUGGAGCACUGGACUGAGCCCCCAAGGUCCAGAUGAAGAGCAGAAGGAGGGAGAAAUGAGCGAGGAAGUCAAGACAGCGAGGGUGCAUCCACCAACGGAGAUGGUGGGACUGAUCUAAUGGGAGUUCACCAAAUUUCAGAGUUCCCAGCAGUGCAAUGUGAGGUCAUCAGCUUUGGAAGGUUCAUGGAAGGGUUUGUUUAUCAUCAGUAUUCAUGGUCAUACUAUGGCUCUUCCUCAGAAAUGUCCUCUCUUUCCCUUUAUGGCCUCAAUAACUCAGAGCAGUGACAUAGCAUUACAGGUGUUCUUUUGAAAUUAGGCACUAAAAGACGGCUUCGGUUUACUAAUAAAAGGAAAAUAUCCUAUAAAGGAAUACGUAUAAAAAGCAAAUAAACUCCCCAGAUUCUGGAAAGUGAAAUAAAUAAAGACUAUUUUAUGUUUUAUUAAUUUACUUUAUAUUGCAUAGAAUUAGACAAGUUCAAGUUAUAAGCAUAACUCUGAAUAGGUAUUGGGAAAGAUUUUAUCAAUAAUGUGCUUUUUCCAAAGAAAAGAUGUUUUUCAUGACUAUAGAAAGAGUCCUAGACAACUGAAAGAGGCUCACCAAGGGCUUCCUGACACGCUCCAUGCAUGAGACUUUCCCAUCAACACUAUAGCCUUCAUCCAGUCAUAUUAAAGUCCUAUGUUUAAUCAGAAGUGUCUGUUUCAGGUUAUAUCACGUAUAUAUAAAUGCAUGCAUCUGUAAUAUGCCUUUUCUGUCCUGUCUGCCAGCUCCCAAAUAAUGUGUAAUUAUGAAAGCUCAGCCUAUAGCUUAGGCAUGUUUCUAACUAGUUCUUAUAACUUAAAUUUACCCAUUUUUAUUCAUCUACAUUCUACAACAUGACUCGUGGCUGUUACUUCUCAUUCUCCACAUCCUGCUUUCUCCACAUCUGGCUGGUGACUCCACCUCUAUUCUUCCCAGAGUUCUCUCUCUAUCCAGAAGUCCUACCUAAACCUCCUUUCUAGCUAUUGGCUGUUCAGCUGUCUAUUACUGCAAUCACAGCAAUACAUCUUCACACAGUGUACAAAUAUCCUACAAUGGAUAUUCAUGCAAAAAACAAUUGCUGAAAAAAGAGGCCAUCAAUUUGAAGGAGUGUGGAGGGAGGACUUGGAGGGAGAAAGGGUAAGGGUGAGAUCUGUAAUUAAAACACAAUGUUAGAAAUAAACAAAAUUAAAAACAGAAUGCCUGCUUCAUUAGGUAAAAUUUUUGUGUGAUAAAGUAACACCACAUACCUUGAAAAUGACAAAAGCAGAUAUUUCAUGGGCACCUUCCCCUCAUAAACACAGCUGUCAGGUUCUAGCUCUGAUAGCCCUAAUGCAUAUGUUGGAUUUAUUUGUCAAUUCUAUGGAUUUCCCGUUUCUAACUAAAUUUUUACUCAUUUCCUGACAUGAAUAUUUAACUCUAACUUCAAAGUAAAAUUACAUCAAACCUACCAUAGACAUAUGCAUAAAGAUAAAUAAAUUUUAAAGAGGGGUUGAAUUAGCCCUCUCUGU